Molecule: non-coding RNA, 2725 nt
Organism: Xyrichtys novacula (pearly razorfish)
Lineage: Eukaryota; Metazoa; Chordata; Actinopteri; Labriformes; Labridae
Source: the annotation of a GenBank genome assembly
GCAGCUGCUGGAAGAGAGUGGGUGAGUUGUGUUUAGUCUCUUUGCUAAAGAAAUCAGGCAAGGUUAAAGAGAUGUUUGGUGGCUAGUACUAUGGCUUGGACCCUAUAUGUACUGUUGAUGAAGUUAGGUGCUGUUCUGAGCAUUAUUUGUGGCGUUUUGGUUGAGGUUUUUUUAUGGCUCCGUAGAUCCCUGUGUAUUGCCAUCGUGCGGUCAUUAUUUAAAGUUGGUAUAACCAGAUAAGCAAGCGGUCUGCAACAUUCAUCUCUUGAGGGGUGUCUAACUUGGUGUUGCGGUGUGUUCGACCCUAAAUUAAUUUUACGCCGGAAUAUCCCUUUAACAUUAACUUUGCUGAGUAUAUCUCUAAAAAGGGCAUAAAAAGUUAAAUGAAAGUAUACUUAGUUUAAAUACUGUAUACCUGAAGUGAGGUAUACACCUGAGAGAAAUUGUUUAUUUUAGGAGACAUUUUCAGAAAAGAAAGAAAUUUUUAAAAUUCGUCUUACAGAUUUUCAGAACUGGUUCAACAUUUUGUAGGUAAUGACUUAAUCAAUGAAAUGAGGACGAAUGACUGUUCAGCAUUUAAAAGUAUAGUUCAUUUUGACUGACACGACACAAGCAGAUGAUAAUGUUACAAAACAGUAGAGAAUUGUAGGAAAGCGAUUGAUGUCAAAAAGCAUUUGCAACUUGAUGGAAGGAAUGAGAAACUGCUGAAGCGAUGUGCAAAAAUAACUUUAUGUUGUGGAGGUUGAACUAACUGUUGUGCAAAAGUUAAUAGUGAUGUGAGAAAUGCACCAAAGCGACUGAGAAAAUUUGUAAUACUAAAAGGUAGGAGACGAAACAAUGCUAUAUGCAGCAUUUGCCAACUAAAACAACUGUAUUGAGUGGCCCUAGGUUGUUCUGAGGUUCCAAAUAAAAGAACCACUGAAGUGAACUGGCUUGCAGCUAUUUUGCACCUAACAGUUUCCUCUUGGUUUCUUGUGGAUGUGUUUUGGAUUGUUCUCCUCCCCUGUGAAGCUAUUAGAGUGCUUUGGCACACACUUCAGUGGGAAAGGGGGAUUUUCAUUAGUCACAACUGAAGCCAGAUUUGCCUCAUCUUCUGGCAAUGUAUUCUUCUUCAUUGCAUGUGAGCCUCCGGCCUAAAAAAUGCCCCAAAGUCAGUCAAACAGUCCUGUUAGCCAACACCAGACCAAGCUUUACAUGCAGUCAUUUUUGCCGCUGUUUUUAAAGACUCAGCUCCAACAGAAUGGCAAAAUCCAAAAUCCCAGAGUGUCAUUUCUACUCAGCACAAUGAGAUGCAAUAUUGACAGCUUUGUGCUGCAGCUGAUGGAAGUUGCAAAAAUAUUCCUUAUCUCAGUCUGAAAUCCAGGAGCUGUUUUCUAAGGAAUAAAACUUUCUGUGUUUCCCAUGAAUACUACAGAGCCCGGGAGGUGACAUGAACUUUUAUUCUUUUUAACUCGCACGUGUGAUUAAGUAUCUCACAUGUGCGUUUUAAUAUCUCGAACAUGCAUUUUAUUUGUAUCUUGCACGUGUUUUUGUAAAAACUCUGGACAGAGAGCAUAUUAUCAACAUUUUCUUUCAUUUAGGUAUGACUCACAAAGAGAUACUUUAUAGCUUAGCCAUAUUUGGUAUUGUUUUGAGUAGGAGACACCUCAUCAGGAUCCUUACAGCACAGCGACUUUGUUGUAGGAGAUAUUCGGAAGUGCAGGAAGUGAUUUUGCUUAUUAAAGAACAGUUAAAUCAGCCAGUGAUUUACUGAAAUGCACAUGCAAGAUACUAAAUCCCAUGUGCGAAUUUAAAAAAAAAAAGUUAAUGUCACCUCCUGGGCUCCGUAGCAUGCAGCCCACAAUGGACUAAUGGAAACUUUUCAGUCAUAUAACACAGUACGAUGAUAAUUGUCUGUAUUUGUAGAAGAAAUAGUGAAUUUGUAUUUUUUCACAGUAAUUGUGAGAUGAGACAUUGAUCACAGUCCCACCCACAAUACAGGUGAACUAAAACUGUCACUGAUGAUAGGAUGUGAAAUUUACCGUGUACAUUAACCCGGUCUCAGAGAUGGGGUGUUAAAGGACUCCAACACAAAACACGUUUGUCUAAAAACAGCUCUUACUGUGUAUACUGUGUGUUUAGUGUGUUAUAGCAUAACCUGCACACUUCUGUUAAGAUUAAUUUGUGCUUCUUUAUGUAUGAAGAAAGAAACCUUUGUGAGCAAAACAGCCUUUACUACCCACAUAAUACCACACCUGCUUUACAGUCAGAUGUACAUAUGUUGAAUAACAAAUCUGCUUAAAGAAGAUACAAAAAAAUCUGUCUUACACAAACCUCCUCAUCACCUUUUUCCCAACUGUUGUGUUGUGCUGGUGUAUGCCCGUUAGGUAGCAAUAUACAGUGUAGUGUAUAUAUGUAUGGUUUUCAACCAGUUUGCACAGUUUUUCCUUGAAAAGUUGCGCCAUCGACCAUAGUCCUCUGUUUCCUGGUAUGGCUUAAACUACUGCCUACACUGCUCAGCACAGCCUUUACAACUUUUAGAAGCACUGCAGUGUUUGGUCCAUAUCUGUCAGCCUCACAGUGGUGUAUUAAAAUAUCAUUAUUUCAGCCUUCAAGGACCUGUUGAUGGACCCCCUUCAACAAGCCUUCUUCCUUCUGAUUGGCCACCUCUCUGGAGGCUUUCCAUAAGCCGGCCAUGGCUAGACCUCAAUGUUUUGGCCCUGCUUCCUCUAUUGUGGUCGAUCGG